This 303-nucleotide signal recognition particle RNA is filed under the name Acidiplasma cupricumulans. RNAcentral describes it as "Ferroplasma cupricumulans Archaeal signal recognition particle RNA". It matches the Rfam family "Archaeal signal recognition particle RNA". Lineage: Archaea; Methanobacteriati; Thermoplasmatota; Thermoplasmata; Thermoplasmatales; Ferroplasmaceae. RNAcentral also lists the same sequence under 2 other names. The record is from Rfam by way of RNAcentral.
CGCUGGACUUGACCGGGGAGCCAGGCACUCCCUGUGACCCGUGCCUAAAUGCGGGGGCGACUGCCCGGUGAGGGCAACCAGGCCUUUGGCAGUCUCCAUGGAAUCGUUGAAUCUCUGUCCUUUUGGAUCGGGGGUUUAUACAUGCAUACUCAAAGGAGAAUGCAUGUAUAAUUUGCUGAAAAAACCCGCCAGGCCCGGAAGGGAGCAACGGUAUUUCAGACCGCCGAUGCUGAGAGGGUGCGGGGAGGAGAGGAAGUGGAGGGCACUACCAAAACACCUGGUCUGAUCCGGGUGUGUCCAGCA